This 497-nucleotide ribosomal RNA is filed under the name uncultured bacterium. RNAcentral's name for it is "partial 16S ribosomal RNA". It matches the Rfam family "Bacterial small subunit ribosomal RNA", at positions 28 to 507 of the family's 1533-position model. The record is from RNAcentral.
GAUGAACGCUGGCGGCGUGCCUAAUACAUGCAAGUCGAGCGAACGGACGAGAAGCUUGCUUCUCUGAUGUUAGCGGCGGACGGGUGAGUAACACGUGGAUAACCUACCUAUAAGACGGGGAUAACUUCGGGAAACCGGAGCUAAUACCGGUUAAUAUUUUGAACCGCAUGGUUCAAAAGUGAAUGACGGUCUUGCUGUCACUUAUAGAUGGAUCCGCGCUGCAUUAGCUAGUUGGUAAGGUAACGGCUUACCAAGGCAACGAUGCAUAGCCGACCUGAGAGGGUGAUCGGCCACACUGGAACUGAGACACGGUCCAGACUCCUACGGGAGGCAGCAGUAGGGAAUCUUCCGCAAUGGGCGAAAGCCUGACGCAGCCACGCCGCGUGAGUGAUGAAGGUCUUCGGAUCGUAAAACUCUGUUAUUAGGGAAGAACAUAUGUGUAAGUAACUGUGCACAUCUUGACGGUACCUAAUCAGAAAGCCACGGCUAACUACGUG